GAUUGGGGACGCCACGAGCAGCGAGGUUGGCGUUGGGUAGGGCUCGGUGAAGAUGAGGACGAAGCUGGGGAACUUGGAUUUCUACGCGGAUCGAUCCCUAUACAUCGGAUGGGAUUUCUACGCGGAUCGAAGAGGGACUGGUUUGCCGCACGAUCUAGGGAAAAGGAAACCAAGAAAGAACUCAACAAAGAAAUGGUUUCCUAAGGAGCCAGCUGAAGCUUCUUCAUCACAGCCAAACUAGGGGAUUCUGGUCAACACCAACUUGUCUCCACUGAUGUUCCAGAAGAAAUAGUUGAUACUACCCCACAGAGGAGAGUGAGGUGUGCUGUCAAAAAGAAGAUUACUCCGAAGAAGAAGAUCUGCUUCUGAGUAGCUGCUUAAGUAUGGCAGUUGUGUCUGUAUUUUAAGUAUGAAUUAUGGCAGUUGUGUUUGUAUUUUAAGUAUGAAUUAUGGCAGUUGUUUCUGGCAGCUGUCAACAAUUUCUGUUUGUGCCUGAGAUGAAAAUGUAGUACUGGUUGUGUUUAGAAACGUGACAGGCAACAACCCAGUAGUGAUUGAAGUAGUGAACUAUUUCUGUUUGUGCCCAGUGGUCAACAAUUUCUGUUUGUGAAUGACAUGAAAAUGUAGUCAACAUUUUCUGUUUGUGCCCAGCUGUCAACAAUUUC
Molecule: long non-coding RNA, 665 nt
Organism: Zea mays
Lineage: Eukaryota; Viridiplantae; Streptophyta; Magnoliopsida; Poales; Poaceae
Exons: 2
Source: RefSeq, a predicted model, not a curated record